Molecule: long non-coding RNA, 1294 nt
Filed under: Theobroma cacao (cacao)
Lineage: Eukaryota; Viridiplantae; Streptophyta; Magnoliopsida; Malvales; Malvaceae
Description: long non-coding RNA (TCAC_LNC002533)
Source: RNAcentral
CCAAAGGAAGAACAAAGGAAGAAAAGAAAGAACAAGAACCCUAGAGUGAAAAUUUAAGAGAAAAUUGGUGGAUUUCAAGUAAUCAAGCAAUCAAAGGUAAAAUUUCUUGAUUUUGACUUGUGAUCUACCUUUCCUAUGCAUUCUUUUUCAUUUACCAUGGUUGAGAAUCAAGUUUGCAUGAGGAUACCCUUGCUGGCCGGACAUGGGGGGAGGAGUUUUGAUGCUUGAUUUGGUUAGAUUUCAAUGUAUUUUAGUGUUUUAAGUUGAUUGGUGAUGUGUAGCAUGAAAAUCAAGCAAGAAAAAUUCAUGUUCUCCCAUCACCCAUCAUUGGCCAAAUUUUCCAUGUAAAGUGUGGAUGGUGGAUUUGAUUUUAUUUCAAGUGACUUCGUUAGGAAAUGAUGAAUUAUGGUGAGAAAAUCAAGUAAGAAAAAUCAUAAUAUUGAUGCACCCAUCAUGGCCGAAAUUCCCAAGAGAAAAUGUGAAGAUGAUUUUGCUAAAUUUUAUACUAUUUGACUUGUGUUUGAUGGUUUAGAGAAUUGGAAGAAAAAUGGAGUUCAAUUGGAGUUCAAUUGGACAUAUUGGCCAAUUAAUCGAGUGAUAGAUCGAAUUAGGCCAAUACCGGUUUAUUUAGGUACACAAUUGAAUUUAUGUAGAACACCAUGUUUAGAUGAUAAUUUGAAUAAUUUGCAUUCCUUUUCAUGCAUCCAUAUAGUUUUAUAACGGUUUAGCACCAAUGUGGUAAAUUGCUUGAUUGUGCAUUAUGUCUAGGUGGUGAAUCCUCCGAUAAAGGCAAAAAAAUUGUACCCGAGGAUCGAUAGUCGGAGUACUCUAAAAAUUCAACUCCCGAAAUAGUGAGUAACCUUAUCAUCAUUUUAAUUAUCUAAAGUGGUCUCUUUAUUCGAUUUUGUGAAUUUUAUGAAAAAUGAGUUAAAUGGUUAAAUUUUAGGUUUUAUAAACAAAAUGUGUUUAAAUGAAAUGAUUUUAUAAAUUGUCUUGAAAUUGACUGAUGGCUUUGAAAAUAGAGUAAUUGGAGACCAUUUGAUGUAUUAUUAAUUUAUGAUUCUAAUUGAUUGGCUUAUGGCAAUAUUGGCAUGAAUGGUUGAAUUGGUAAAUGUGCUGAAAAUGUUUGAAUUGUUGAUUUGCCUUGAGAGGUUGUCAAAUAAAAUAAUUGCCAUGUCAUGCUAUCGUAAAUUUUAUUAUAUGGUGGGUUUAGCUUGCUACAGUGGGCGGGUUCUGUGGACCAGCCUAUUAGAGGGGCACGAAAUCCGGUUAUAUACGUACCUCAGUCCGAGAG